RNAcentral lists this ribosomal RNA (499 nucleotides) under uncultured bacterium. Its description in RNAcentral is "partial 16S ribosomal RNA". It matches the Rfam family "Bacterial small subunit ribosomal RNA", at positions 899 to 1397 of the family's 1533-position model. The record is from RNAcentral.
ACUCAAAUGAAUUGACGGGGGCCCGCACAAGCGGUGGAUCAUGUGGUUUAAUUCGAAGCAACGCGAAGAACCUUACCUGGGUUUGACAUCGCCGGACAUCCGUAGAGAUACGGCCUUCGUAGCAAUACGACCGGUAGACAGGUGCUGCAUGGCUGUCGUCAGCUCGUGUGGUGACAUGUUGGGUUAAGUCCCUUAACGAGCGCAACCCUUGUCGUUAGUUGCCAGCAUUAAGUUGGGCUCUCUAACGAGACUGCCGUGGUUAACACGGAGGAAGGUGGGGAUGACGUCAAGUCCUCAUGGCCUUUAUACCCAGGGCGACACACGUGAUACAAUGGAUGGUACAGAGGGUCGCGAGCAGGUGACUGUAAGCAAAUCUCAAAAAGCCAUCCUCAGUUCGGAUUGGAGUCUGCAACUCGACUCCAUGAAGUUGGAAUCGCUAGUAAUCGCGGAUCAGAACGCCGCGGUGAAUACGUUCCCGGGCCUUGCACACACCGCCCGU